UGAAAGGCUAAUUAAUCCAUUGUUAUCAAGCUAGCAGAUAUCUGAAUACUCCAUGACUUUACUAUGGAGAUGCCAAAAUAACAGAUCUGACCUAUUAGAACAGCUUGAGCAAACAUUUGCUAGUAAACGCAUUGAAUCUUGAUGCAUGGUUGUAUAAAUAUAUAUUUAUGGACUAUAAAUUUUGAUGAAGAGUAGAGUUGUCAUGAGCAGCUAAUCUCACCCAGCUUGCCAUUCUCAAGAGAAUGCUGAUUAUCGCUGCUGCAUUGUCAUCUGUCUAAACAAGUUAAUUAACUGUAUGUCUCUACAGUCAGCCUUCCAGCCACUGUGCCCCAAGGCUGUAGUGAUGCACGGGAUUGUUGCGAACAAAAUGCAAGACCUAACACAUGGUCUUAACAAAGCUUAUGCUGCUGGCCUCAGCCCAGUGAUCCAGCCUAUCCAGAUCCCUCUGAAGGACCUCACUACUCCCAGGCAGAUUGGCACUACCUCCCAGCCUACUGUCAUCCAAAAACUUACUGAGGUGUGAUUGUCCAGCCAGUUUUUUAUCCAGGGAAGAGUACGCCUGCCCAAGUUAUGGGCUGCCAGCUUCAGUGCAGACAUGCCUUUAAUACUGCCCAUAUUCAAUGUAUAAGCUGCUUCUCAGAUGACUGCCAGAAUGUAGCAAAGCUGGAAAGCUUUCUGCUUUGAACACAACAAAGUAAAGUUUUCUGUAUGGUCACAGUCAUCCAAUUAUAUUUCUCUGUUGAGGAAGAAAAGGUACAAGCAGUCCAAGGGUUCAUUUGAUCCUUUUGCAAGAAUACAAACCUGAGCAAAAAAUACUGGGUCGCAGGGCAGCAAGUGGUUUGUACUGCUAUUCAUGGGAUCCAGAAAAGUUGAAUUACAUUGUUAUUUUUAUUAUUAUUGUUGUUGUUGUUAUUGUUUUAUCAUAACUAUUCAUCUGGUUACACUGAAUGUGGAGUCAGUAUAAUUUUUAGCAUUGUCAUUGUAAAUGAUUCUGUUUGUCCUUGUUUACCAGUCACAGACUGUUCACAUAAACUCUCUGGAGAUCUUUUACAACAGCAUUUUGUGAUGUCUUAAUAACAUGCAACAUUCUUGACAGUAUUGUUGGCAGUCCCAGAAAGACAGAAGUAACAAUAAUCUCAGAACAAACUGAAAACUAAUUUCUGUCAAAAAAGUUUGCUGCAUUGAAAGACAAUUUUUUUUUUUUUUUUACCCAUUAAAGUAGAAUAUUCAACUUGAAGCUCUUUCCAGUUGCAUAUUCAACUUGAAGCUCUUUCCAGUUGCAAUCGUUUUGAAACACAGGCACAUUUUUUCUCCCCAGAAGAAGAGAUGAGAGAAAAGGAAAUUCAAAACAAGAAGCUGGUUUGAAAAUCAUUUCAUUUGGAAAAUUCAAAAGAAAAUUUCUUCUUGUCUUCCUUUGUUUUCAGUCCUUGAAAAGAGCAAUUCAGUGAAAUGAGUUGAUGUAAUCUUCCAGGAAGAACUAAUUUGCAGUUCU
This 1492-nucleotide long non-coding RNA is filed under the name Gallus gallus (chicken). Its description in RNAcentral is "lncRNA (ENSGALG00010016106.1)". Lineage: Eukaryota; Metazoa; Chordata; Aves; Galliformes; Phasianidae. The record is from RNAcentral.